GGGGCUGACUGGUUUCGACGUUGGGACCUGGAAGUCGAGCGUGCGACCCGAGUUGUCUCGGACUCGUUAAACAGGGACACACAAAGAACCGCCGACAACGAGCAGUUCGCUCUCGCCGCCUGAUCCUUCAGGUGACGUAGAGGAAAAUCGUGACCAGCGAUGGCGCACGGGGCCGGACCCCCACAGCCCGGCAACAGAAGUGGGGGUGGACCGCAGGGAGAGACCGCUGACGGCGUGAAAGACCGCUGACGCCGGGGAAAGACCCGGCAGUGGGCCCUUCGGGGCCGGCCGACCCGCCGGUUCAGCUGCUGUGAGCUGAGAAGUCGGGAAUGGUCGUAGCAGGUUCGGUGACCACCUGGCGGACGGGGGUUCGAUUCCCCCCAGCUCCACGA
RNAcentral lists this transfer-messenger RNA (392 nucleotides) under Microthrixaceae. RNAcentral describes it as "AWTP1-35 sp003962875 Standard tmRNA". It matches the Rfam family "transfer-messenger RNA". Rfam says of the family: Bacterial tmRNA, also known as 10Sa RNA or SsrA, is named for its dual tRNA and mRNA-like properties. Its role is to liberate the mRNA from a stalled ribosome. Lineage: Bacteria; Bacillati; Actinomycetota; Acidimicrobiia; Acidimicrobiales. The record is from RNAcentral. RNAcentral also lists the same sequence under 3 other names.